This is a non-coding RNA of Borealophlyctis nickersoniae, 103 nucleotides long. NCBI's taxonomy places the organism in Eukaryota, Fungi, Chytridiomycota, Chytridiomycetes, Rhizophlyctidales, Borealophlyctidaceae. The record is from the annotation of a GenBank genome assembly.
GCUCGAUUAGCUCAGCUGGUUAGAGCGUGGUGCUAAUAAUCGGCUCAGUCACUGUGCUAAAUUUGAUACGCCAAGGUCACAGGUUCGAUCCCUGUAUCGAGCA